RNAcentral lists this ribosomal RNA (207 nucleotides) under uncultured Latescibacterota bacterium. RNAcentral's name for it is "uncultured Latescibacteria bacterium partial 16S ribosomal RNA". It matches the Rfam family "Bacterial small subunit ribosomal RNA", at positions 568 to 774 of the family's 1533-position model. The record is from RNAcentral. Lineage: Bacteria; Pseudomonadati; Candidatus Latescibacterota.
CGUGUAGGCGGUCAGGUAAGUGGAAUGUGAAAUGCCCCGGCUCACCCGGGGACCGGCAUCCCAAACUGCCUGGCUUGAGUAUGGGAGAGGAUGGAGGAAUUCCUGGUGUAGCGGUGAAAUGCGUAGAUAUUAGGAGGAACACCGGUGGCGAAGGCGUCCAUCUGGCCCAAUACUGACGCUGAGGCGCGAAAGCUAGGGGAGCAAACG